Molecule: ribosomal RNA, 482 nt
Filed under: uncultured bacterium
Lineage: Bacteria
Description: bacterial SSU rRNA
Rfam family: Bacterial small subunit ribosomal RNA
Source: RNAcentral
ACGAACGUUGGCGGCGUGGAUUAGGCAUGCAAGUCGUGGGACAGCUGGGGGCAACUCCAGUUGACCGGCGUAAGGGGUAGUUAUGCAUGGGUAACCAUCCCUCCAGAUGGGGAUAACCCGUCGAAAGACGGGCUAAUACCCAGCGUUGUUGCGAUGGGGCAUCUUGUCGCAAUGAAAGGUGUGAUUCCGCUGGAGGACGGGCUCAUGUGGUAUUAGCUAGUUGGUAGGGUAACGGCCUACCAAGGCUACGAUGCCUAGGGGGUGUUAGCGCACGACCCCCACCACUGGGACUGAGACACUGCCCAGACACCUACGGGUGGCUGCAGUCGAGAAUCUUCGGCAAUGAGCGCAAGCUUGACCGAGCGACGCCGCGUGGAGGAUGAAGGCCUUCGGGUUGUAAACUCCUGUCAGGGGGGAGGAAAGCUAGGUGGGCUCUCCCAUUUAGUUGACCUAGCCUCAGAGGAAGGACGGGCUAAAUUCGU